RNAcentral lists this ribosomal RNA (253 nucleotides) under uncultured bacterium. RNAcentral describes it as "partial 16S ribosomal RNA". It matches the Rfam family "Bacterial small subunit ribosomal RNA", at positions 524 to 776 of the family's 1533-position model. The record is from RNAcentral.
UACGUAGGGUGCGAGCGUUGUCCGGAAUUAUUGGGCGUAAAGGGCUCGUAGGCGGUUUGUCGCGUCGGGAGUGAAAUCAUCUGGCUUAACUGGGUGCUUGCUUUCGAUACGGGCAGACUAGAGGUAUGCAGGGGAGAACGGAAUUCCUGGUGUAGCGGUGAAAUGCGCAGAUAUCAGGAGGAACACUGGUGGCGAAGGCGGUUCUCUGGGCAUGAUCUGACGCUGAGGAGCGAAAGUGUGGGGAGCGAACAGG